GAAAGAACACGGAGAAAAUUGAACAAGAACAACUUUGA
This 38-nucleotide ribosomal RNA is filed under the name Tauphaedusa subaculus. RNAcentral describes it as "Euphaedusa subaculus partial 5.8S rRNA". Lineage: Eukaryota; Metazoa; Mollusca; Gastropoda; Stylommatophora; Clausiliidae. The record is from RNAcentral.